UGGGGAAUAUUGGACAAUGGGCGCAAGCCUGAUCCAGCAAUGCCGCGUGUGUGAAGAAGGCCUUCGGGUUGUAAAGCACUUUUAUCAGGAGCGAAACGCUGUCGGCUAAUACCCGGCGGAACUGACGGUACCUGAGGAAUAAGCACCGGCUAACUUCGUGCCAGCAGCCGCGGUAAUACGAAGGGUGCAAGCGUUAAUCGGAAUUACUGGGCGUAAAGCGUGCGUAGGCGGUUUCUUAAGUCUGCUGUGAAAUCCCCGGGCUCAACCUGGGAAUGGCAGUGGAUACUGGGAGGCUAGAGUGUGUCAGAGGGUGGUGGAAUUCCCGGUGUAGCGGUGAAAUGCGUAGAGAUCGGGAGGAACAUCAGUGGCGAAGGCGGCCACCUGGGACAACACUGACGCUGAGGCACGAAAGCGUGGGGAGCAAACAGGAUUAGAUACCCUGGUAGUCCACGCCCUAAACGAUGCGAACUGGAUGUUGGUCUCAACUCGGAGAUCAGUGUCGAAGCUAACGCGUUAAGUUCGCCGCCUGGGGAGUACGGUCGCAAGAUU
This 549-nucleotide ribosomal RNA is filed under the name uncultured bacterium. RNAcentral's name for it is "partial 16S ribosomal RNA". It matches the Rfam family "Bacterial small subunit ribosomal RNA", at positions 355 to 895 of the family's 1533-position model. The record is from RNAcentral.